RNAcentral lists this ribosomal RNA (247 nucleotides) under uncultured bacterium. Its description in RNAcentral is "partial 16S ribosomal RNA". It matches the Rfam family "Bacterial small subunit ribosomal RNA", at positions 523 to 769 of the family's 1533-position model. The record is from RNAcentral.
AUACGGAGGAUGCGAGCGUUAUCCGGAUUUAUUGGGUUUAAAGGGUGCGUAGGCGGAUCAAUAAGUCAGUGGUGAAAUUCUGCAGCUUAACUGUAGACUUGCCAUUGAUACUGUUUUUCUUGAGUAUGGUCAAGGCAGGCGGAAUGUGUAAUGUAGCGGUAAAAUGCUUAGAUAUUACACAGAACACCGAUAGCGAAGGCAGCUUGCUGGGCCGUUACUGACGCUGAUGCACGAAAGCGUGGGGAUC